CAAAAAGAUGAUGCAAGUCAAAUCAUACUUUUGGUAUUUAUCAAUGUAGAGUAUAUUGUGGAAAGAUCGAUCAAAGUUGCAGAGAGCGGACAACUGCAAAUCGAGACACUGAAAUAGAGGAAUAAAGGCAAUCAUAGGGGAGAGGAAGCGUGUUUAAUCAGAUGAGGAUGAAUAAAUGUCAGUGACAACACCACCAAGGCAUUCGAAGGUGACAGUGGCUAUAGCAGGACUGUUCUGCAGGCAUCACAACAGUUACUAUAAGAUCCUCAAACAGUUGCACCAUCUCUACAGAGAGUGUCGUGAAAUUCCGUCGUUUCUCACAACAGAGGUGCGAGCGAAAAAUGCCGCCUUGAUGAAGACAGCCUCGGACAGAGAUGGUGGGAGG
Long non-coding RNA from Mya arenaria, 385 nucleotides. RefSeq lists it as uncharacterized. The transcript is spliced from 4 exons. The record is from RefSeq and is a predicted model, not a curated record. NCBI's taxonomy places the organism in Eukaryota, Metazoa, Mollusca, Bivalvia, Myida, Myidae.